Non-coding RNA from Pseudonaja textilis, 1396 nucleotides. The record is from RefSeq and is a predicted model, not a curated record. Lineage: Eukaryota; Metazoa; Chordata; Lepidosauria; Squamata; Elapidae.
AAUGGCCUAAGGUCACCAAACUGGCUGUAUGCCUAAACUGGGACUAGGAUUCAUCAUCUUCCAGUUUCUAGACUGAUACCUUAAACACAAUAUCAAACUGGCUCUACUGGAAUUAUUACUUUCCUCUUUGUCAAUGUCACCAAUUGGUCAAUAUCAUUUAUAUAAAGUGGUAGCAAGGAAGAGAAGAACUAUUGUUUUAUACUGACACCACUCUAAAACUGUACUGGUUCACCUUUAAAAUAUUUCAGCUUUAUACUAAAUCCUCUCUCUCUUUCCUCUUUUUAGAUGGUUGUGGUCCUUUAUAUGGAGCUGAAAGUCUUGGGGUGUUUGGCAGAAAGGUGAAAUUGACUACAAAUUAUGGAGAAAGCUCUUGAAAAAAAGUGUUGUGAACUAUUUAUCUUUUAUUUUCUGGGUACAUCAACUCUCCAUCUCUAUAAGCAAUGAGAUAUAUGUCAUCUUUUUUUUAGGUCUGGUUGCCAUACAGGAAUAAAGGCCGCAUUUAGUCUCAUUGAGUAAAGCCAAGAAUGGAGUAAAAGUCCAAGUCAGCAGGGAUUUCUGUAUAUAGAACUGAGAAAGGGAAGCAUAAUUUUAUCCUUUGCAGCUGGGGCAAAAUAUCUUGAGUCCACAUGCAAUAAUUUUGCUGUAGCUAUGCCUUCCAGGGCAAAGGAAUGUUGCAGGAAUUUAGCUUGUUUUUGAGUUGUUGGGAAACAGAGCUUCUUCUGUGAAUAAAAGGAACAAGUACUUGAGCUGCUAUAAUCACAGUGAAAAGUCACUAUAAACAAGAGCAAGGUUCUCCAGGAAAUACUUUCACUGAAAGACGUCAAAAAGUUCUCAGAGAAACCAACUGUGAAUCCAAAUAUUUGCCCAGGGAUUAAAGGCAGCCUUCUUUGUUUCAGGAUUGUCUAAUAAAAGAAUAAGUGACACCUGGUAAUAACUAACAAUAUUUAGUAUUUAGAUAUGUUUUCAAAUGUUGAAAUUACUCCCCAGAUAUUGCUUAACUUGGCCAACAAAGAAGAGAACAGCUGCCUCUUCGUGGUGUUGUCUUUUUCCCACCUUCAGUAAAGCAAUGUAUGAAUUGUUCCUCAAUAAUCAAGAUUAAUGCCAGCAGCAGUAAAGAAACAUAAGAAAGGAAAACUGUAACCUUGAUUGUUAUCCAUCAGUUUAGACAAGUACAAUGCAUAAUGUCUGCAUAACUUCCAUGUGAUUUGAGUAAGACUGAUAAUGAAAUGCUAAAUGAACUUUUGGGAGCUAUUUAUACAACCACCCAAGGAACUUGUUUAUACUGAUUCUCAUCCAGCAGGAGUGCCAGUAUGAAAAGGAAAAACAAAUGGAUAUCAUAGCUCUGAUGAAUCUGGGACAGAAUAGGUGCAGACUGAAACUAUUUCUCUUAUAUAUA